RNAcentral lists this ribosomal RNA (464 nucleotides) under uncultured bacterium. Its description in RNAcentral is "bacterial SSU rRNA". It matches the Rfam family "Bacterial small subunit ribosomal RNA", at positions 40 to 518 of the family's 1533-position model. The record is from RNAcentral.
CGGCACGCUUAACACAUGCAAGUCGAACGGAGUACAUUGGAGCUUGCUUGAUGUACUAGUGGCGGAUGGGUGAGUAACACGUGAGCAACCUGCCUUUGAGAACGGAAUAGCUUCUGGAAACGGAUGGUAAUACCGUAUAACAUUACUGAAUCGCAUGGUUUAGUAAUCAAAGAUUUAUCGCUCAAAGAUGGGCUCGCGUCUGAUUAGAUAGUUGGUGGGGUAACGGCCUACCAAGUCGACGAUCAGUAGCCGGACUGAGAGGUUGAACGGCCACAUUGGGACUGAGACACGGCCCAGACUCCUACGGGAGGCAGCAGUGGGGAAUAUUGCACAAUGGGCGGAAGCCUGAUGCAAGCGAUGCCGCGUGGAGGAAGAAGGUUUUCGGAUUGUAAACUCCUGAUCUGAGGGACGAUAGUGACGGUACCUCAGGAGAAAGCUCCGGCUAACUACGUGCCAGCAGCCGC